RNAcentral lists this ribosomal RNA (253 nucleotides) under uncultured bacterium. RNAcentral describes it as "partial 16S ribosomal RNA". It matches the Rfam family "Bacterial small subunit ribosomal RNA", at positions 524 to 776 of the family's 1533-position model. The record is from RNAcentral.
UACGGAGGGUGCGAGCGUUGUUCGGAAUUACUGGGCGUAAAGGGCGCGUAGGCGGCCUGCUAAGUCGAACGUGAAAUCCCCGGGCUCAACCCGGGAACUGCGUCCGAUACUGGUUGGCUUGAAUCCGGGAGAGGGAUGCGGAAUUCCAGGUGUAGCGGUGAAAUGCGUAGAUAUCUGGAGGAACACCGGUGGCGAAGGCGGCAUCCUGGACCGGCAUUGACGCUGAGGCGCGAAAGCCAGGGGAGCAAACGGG